GCCGCUGUAGUUCAGUUGGUAGAACACUGCUCUCAUGAGGCAGGGGUCGGGGGUUCAAAUCCCUCCGGCGGCA
This 73-nucleotide transfer RNA is filed under the name Nanobdellota archaeon. RNAcentral's name for it is "tRNA-Met". It matches the Rfam family "tRNA". Rfam says of the family: Transfer RNA (tRNA) molecules are approximately 80 nucleotides in length. Their secondary structure includes four short double-helical elements and three loops (D, anti-codon, and T loops). The record is from RNAcentral. RNAcentral also lists the same sequence under 1 other name. Lineage: Archaea; Nanobdellati; Nanobdellota.